Molecule: ribosomal RNA, 253 nt
Filed under: uncultured bacterium
Lineage: Bacteria
Description: partial 16S ribosomal RNA
Rfam family: Bacterial small subunit ribosomal RNA
Source: RNAcentral
UACAGAGGGGGCAAGCGUUGUUCGGAAUUACUGGGCGUAAAGGGCGCGUAGGCGGCCGAUCAAGUCAGGCGUGAAAUUCCCGGGCUCAACCUGGGGGCUGCGCUUGAUACUGAUUGGCUUGAAUGCGGGAGAGGAUAGUGGAAUUCCCAGUGUAGAGGUGAAAUUCGUAGAUAUUGGGAAGAACACCGGUGGCGAAGGCGGCUAUCUGGCCCGUAAUUGACGCUGAGGCGCGAAAGCGUGGGGAGCAAACAGG